AUUGAACGCUGGCGGCAUGCUUUACACAUGCAAGUCGAACGGCAGCGCGGGGCAACCUGGCGGCGAGUGGCGAACGGGUGAGUAAUAUAUCGGAACGUACCCAGAAGUGGGGGAUAACGUAGCGAAAGUUACGCUAAUACCGCAUACGAUCUACGGAUGAAAGUAGGGGACCGCAAGGCCUUAUGCUUUUGGAGCGGCCGAUAUCUGAUUAGCUAGUUGGUGAGGUAAAGGCUCACCAAGGCGACGAUCAGUAGCUGGUCUGAGAGGACGACCAGCCACACUGGAACUGAGACACGGUCCAGACUCCUACGGGAGGCAGCAGUGGGGAAUUUUGGACAAUGGGCGCAAGCCUGAUCCAGCAAUGCCGCGUGAGUGAAGAAGGCCUUCGGGUUGUAAAGCUCUUUUGUCAGGGAAGAAACGGUAGAGGCUAAUAUCCUUUGCUAAUGACGGUACCUGAAGAAUAAGUACCGGCUAACUACGUG
Molecule: ribosomal RNA, 482 nt
Filed under: uncultured bacterium
Lineage: Bacteria
Description: partial 16S ribosomal RNA
Rfam family: Bacterial small subunit ribosomal RNA
Source: RNAcentral